AUUGAACGCUGGCGGCGGGCCUAACACAUGCAAGUCGAACGAGUGGCGGACGGGUGAGUAACGUGUGGGAAACCCGCUGAUGGAGGGGGAUAACUAGUGGGAACGGGAGAUAAACACGCAUACCAUAGGAGGUGCCCAGAUGGGAUUAGGCAGUAGGUGGGGUAACGGCUCACAUAGGCGAAGAUCCCUAGCUGGUCUGAGAGGAGGACCAGCCACACGGGAACGGAGAAACGGCCCAGACUCCUACGGGAGGCAGCAGUGGGGAAUAUUGCACAAGGGGCGCAAGCCUGAGGCAGCCAUGCCGCGUGUAUGAAGAAGGCCUUCGGUUUGUAAAGUACUUUCAGCGGGGCGGCGUUACCCGCAGAAGAAGCACCGGCUAACUUCGUGCCAGCAGCCGCGGUAAUAC
This 406-nucleotide ribosomal RNA is filed under the name uncultured bacterium. Its description in RNAcentral is "partial 16S ribosomal RNA". It matches the Rfam family "Bacterial small subunit ribosomal RNA", at positions 29 to 526 of the family's 1533-position model. The record is from RNAcentral.